UGGCUUAGUGGUAGAGUGCUUGCCUAGCAUGCAUGAGGCCCUGGGUUCGAUUCCUUG
Molecule: transfer RNA, 57 nt
Filed under: Dipodomys ordii (Ord's kangaroo rat)
Lineage: Eukaryota; Metazoa; Chordata; Mammalia; Rodentia; Heteromyidae
Rfam family: tRNA
About the family: Transfer RNA (tRNA) molecules are approximately 80 nucleotides in length. Their secondary structure includes four short double-helical elements and three loops (D, anti-codon, and T loops).
Source: Rfam by way of RNAcentral